CAGCAGCCGCGUGAAUACAGAGGGUGCGAGCGUUAAUCGGAUUUACUGGGCGUAAAGCGUGCGUAGGCGGCUUCUUAAGUCGGAUGUGAAAUCCCUGAGCUUAACUUAGGAAUUGCAUUCGAUACUGGGAAGCUAGAGUAUGGGAGAGGAUGGUAGAAUUCCAGGUGUAGCGGUGAAAUGCGUAGAGAUCUGGAGGAAUACCGAUGGCGAAGGCAGCCAUCUGGCCUAAUACUGACGCUGAGGUACGAAAGCAUGGGGAGCAAACAGGAUUAGAGACCCCGGUAGUCCCUGUCUCUUAUAC
RNAcentral lists this ribosomal RNA (301 nucleotides) under uncultured bacterium. Its description in RNAcentral is "partial 16S ribosomal RNA". It matches the Rfam family "Bacterial small subunit ribosomal RNA", at positions 509 to 807 of the family's 1533-position model. The record is from RNAcentral.